GUUCGUUGAAAUGGUUGAAAAUGAAAGAUAUGAGAAAUUAAACAAUUCUGUAUUGCAAAUUACAAUAUUACGCAAACACUUCGCACGACGAGAAGAAGUAAGGGAAAGAGAGUUCAAAUGUCAAAUCACUGUCUUAUAUACCUAACGUUCUGUCACAUCACUGAUUGUCUAUUGCACUCACAGUUUAUAAACACUUCACACCGAUGACUGAUAAAUUAAAUGCGGACCACACGAUGUGAACCAAGAGUUGCAACGCAAGAUGUGAGACGUU
This 271-nucleotide unclassified non-coding RNA is filed under the name Melitaea cinxia (Glanville fritillary). RNAcentral describes it as "misc RNA ENSMCXG00005005124.1". Lineage: Eukaryota; Metazoa; Arthropoda; Insecta; Lepidoptera; Nymphalidae. The record is from RNAcentral.